RNAcentral lists this ribosomal RNA (420 nucleotides) under Fusobacteriota bacterium. RNAcentral describes it as "Fusobacteria bacterium partial 16S ribosomal RNA". It matches the Rfam family "Bacterial small subunit ribosomal RNA", at positions 355 to 776 of the family's 1533-position model. Lineage: Bacteria; Fusobacteriati; Fusobacteriota. The record is from RNAcentral.
UGGGGGAUAUUGCACAAUGGGCGAAAGCCUGAUGCAGCGACGCCGCGUGGGGGAUGAAGGCCUUCGGGUUGUAAACUUCUUUUGCUCUGAACAAGGCAUGCCUUUGGGGUGUGUUGAGUGUAGGGGUUGAUUAGCGCCGGCUAACUACGUGCCAGCAGCCGCGGUAAUACGUAGGGCGCGAGCGUUGUCCGGAAUUAUUGGGCGUAAAGGGCUUGUAGGUGGCUGGUUGCGUCUGUCGUGAAAGCUCAUGGCUUAACUGUGGGUUUGCGGUGGGUACGGGCUGGCUUGAGUGCAGUAGGGGAGGCUGGAAUUCCUGGUGUAGCGGUGGAAUGCGCAGAUAUCAGGAGGAAUACCGGUGGCGAAGGCGGGUCUCUGGGCUGCUACUGACGCUGAGGAGCGAAAGCGUGGGGAGCGAACAGG